AAGUUCCAAAUUAUUGUUAAGUGAAAAUAAGGUAGUGUUUAUCCAAGCCAACCAGGAAAUGGGCUUAGGAGCGGCCAUUUUUUAAAGACCUCGUAACAGAGCACUGGUUUUAUACAUUUUUGUAUGUAUUGUUAGAUGCACCUAAAAUUUAACGGAUCUAAAUAAUAUACCGAGACCUUGUCCAUAAAUAUUUAUAUGUACAAGUUACAUAUAAUAUUUAUGGGGUAGCGGAACAUUGGGCAUAUCUCAGAUUUUUUCUUUUUAAGACUUAAGAUUAGAUGACCCAAGUGAUAAUGCUGACAUGAGUAACGAUAAAGGGUUUAUACCCUCGCCUAAAGCUUAUGGAAUUUACUUAAAGUAACGGCCUCUAAGUUUAAAUUUGCUAUAGUUUAAACAAACAACACUUGAUACCUAACUCUAACAGACGAUACAAGUGCAAAAUAGUAAACACCUAAUGGUAUAAACGAUGAGAAAAAGCUAAGUUUUACAGAUAUAAAUAGCAUGAGUGUUGCAGGUAGGUAUUAUAUAUAUAAUGGAUUUUUUUUUUAUUCUUUUAUGCGUAUUAUCCUUGCACUAUACUGGAUAUUGAUUGCUCGGGUAUAGGCGGAUGGGCCCG
RNAcentral lists this ribosomal RNA (616 nucleotides) under Rhizocarpon geographicum. Its description in RNAcentral is "partial large subunit ribosomal RNA". The stretch from base 1 to 301 matches the Rfam family "Bacterial large subunit ribosomal RNA", at positions 1042 to 1301 of the family's 2925-position model. The record is from RNAcentral. Lineage: Eukaryota; Fungi; Ascomycota; Lecanoromycetes; Rhizocarpales; Rhizocarpaceae.